GGAUGAAGAACGCAGCGAAAUGCGAUACGUAAUGUGAAUUGCAGAAUUCAGUGAAUCAUCGAGUCUUUGAACGCACAUUGCGCCCCCUGGCAUUCCGGGGGGCAUGCCUGUCCGAGCGUCAUUGCUGCCCUUCAAGCCCGGCUUGUGUGUUGGGUCGUCGUCCCCCCCGGGGGACGGGCCCGAAAGGCAGCGGCGGCACCGCGUCCGGUCCUCGAGCGUAUGGGGCUUUGUCACCCGCUCGAUUAGGGCCGGCCGGGCGCCAGCCGGCGUCUCCAACCUUCUAUUUUACCAGGUUGACCUCGGAUCAGGUAGGGAUACCCGCUGAACUUAAGCAUAUCAAUAAGCGGAGGA
Molecule: unclassified non-coding RNA, 351 nt
Filed under: soil metagenome
Description: partial contains 5.8S ribosomal RNA, internal transcribed spacer 2, and large subunit ribosomal RNA
Rfam family: 5.8S ribosomal RNA (bases 2-121)
Source: RNAcentral